This 1101-nucleotide ribosomal RNA is filed under the name Sesame phyllody phytoplasma. RNAcentral's name for it is "bacterial SSU rRNA". It matches the Rfam family "Bacterial small subunit ribosomal RNA", at positions 166 to 1287 of the family's 1533-position model. The record is from RNAcentral. Lineage: Bacteria; Bacillati; Mycoplasmatota; Mollicutes; Acholeplasmatales; Acholeplasmataceae.
AUUCAUUAUUAUCUUUUAAAAGACCUAGUAAUAGGUAUACUUUAGGAGGGGCUUGCGCCAUAUUAGUUAGUUGGUAGGGUAAUGGCCUACCAAAACGAUGAUGUGUAGCUGGACUGAGAGGUUGAACAGCCACAUUGGGACUGAGACACGGCCCAAACUCCUACGGGAGGCAGCAGUAAGGAAUUUUCGGCAAUGGAGGAAACUCUGACCGAGCAACGCCGCGUGAACGACGAAGUACUUUGGUAUGUAAAGUUCUUUUAUCAAGGAAGAAAAGCAAGUGGCGAACCAUUUGUUUGCCGGUACUUGAUGAAUAAGCCCCGGCUAAUUAUGUGCCAGCAGCCGCGGUAAGACAUAAGGGGCAAGUGUUAUCCGGAAUUAUUGGGCGUAAAGGGUGCGUAGGCGGUCUAGUAAGUCAGUGGUGUAAUGGCAACGCUCAACGUUGUCCGGCUAUUGAAACUGCUAAACUUGAGUUAGAUAGAGGCGAGUGGAAUUCCAUGUGUAGCGGUAAAAUGCGUAAAUAUAUGGAGGAACACCAGAGGCGUAGGCGGCUCGCUGGGUCUUAACUGACGCUGAGGCACGAAAGCGUGGGGAGCAAACAGGAUUAGAUACCCUGGUAGUCCACGCCGUAAACGAUGAGUACUAAGUGUCGGGUUAAACCGGUACUGAAGUUAACACAUUAAGUACUCCGCCUGAGUAGUACGUACGCAAGUAUGAAACUUAAAGGAAUUGACGGGACUCCGCACAAGCGGUGGAUCAUGUUGUUUAAUUCGAAGAUACCCGAAAAACCUUACCAGGUCUUGACAUGUUUUUGCGAAACGGUAGUAAUAUCGUAGAGGUUACCAGAAACACAGGUGGUGCAUGGUUGUCGUCAGCUCGUGUCGUGAGAUGUUAGGUUAAGUCCUAAAACGAGCGAAACCCUUAUCGUUAGUUGCCAGCACGUUAUGGUGGGGACUUUAACGAGACUGCCAGUGAUAAACUGGAGGAAGGUGAGGAUCACGUCAAAUCAGCAUGCCCCUUAUGACCUGGGCUACAAACGUGAUACAAUGGCUGUUACAAAGGGUAGCUGAAACGUAAGUUCUUGGCCAAUCCCCAAAAACAGUC